ACCCAAUAGAUACCCUGGUAGUCUACGCCGUAAACGAUGCGCACUAGGUACGAGAGCCUCUGACGGCGUUCGUGCCGAAAGCAAAAGUGUUAAGUGCGCCGCCUGGGGAGUGCGGCCGCAAGGCUAAAAACUCAAAGGAAUUGACGGGGGCUCACACAAGCGGUGGAGCAUGUGGAUUAAUUCGAAGCAACGCGAAGAACCUUACCUGGGUUUGACAUGCACGGAUGCCCUUCUGGAAACAGGAGUAAGCUGCCUUCGGGUGAAACGUGCACAGGUGCUGCAUGGCUGUCGUCAGCUCGUGCUGUGAAGUGUCGGGUUAAGUCCCUUAACGAGCGAAACCCCUGUCGCUAGUUGCCAGCGGGUCAUGCCGGGGAACUCUAGCGAGACUGCCGGCGUUAAGCCGGAGGAAGGUGGGGACGACGUCAAGUCCUCAUGGCCCUUAUGCCCAGGGUUUCACACGUGCUACAAUGGAACGUACAAAGCGACGCGAGACCGCGAGGUGGAGCAAAUCGCAAAAAC
This 519-nucleotide ribosomal RNA is filed under the name uncultured bacterium. Its description in RNAcentral is "bacterial SSU rRNA". It matches the Rfam family "Bacterial small subunit ribosomal RNA", at positions 770 to 1282 of the family's 1533-position model. The record is from RNAcentral.